GGCUCAGAACGAACGCUGGCGGCGUGCCUAACACAUGCAAGUCGAGCGCGAAUGGGGGCAACCCCUAGUAGAGCGGCGCACGGGUGCGUAACACGUGGGUAAUCUGCCUAGAAGACCGGGACAACCUUCCGAAAGGAAAGCUAAUACCGGAUAAGCCUACGGGAUCCUCGGAUCCUGAAGGAAAAGGUGGCCUCUGUAUACAAGCUAUCACUUCUAGAUGAGCCCGCGGCCCAUCAGCUAGUUGGCGGGGUAACGGCCCACCAAGGCAACGACGGGUAGCUGGUCUGAGAGGACGAUCAGCCACACUGGAACUGAGACACGGUCCAGACUCCUACGGGAGGCAGCAGUGGGGAAUUUUGCACAAUGGGCGAAAGCCUGAUGCAGCAACGCCGCGUGUGUGAUGAAGGUCUUCGGAUUGUAAAGCACUUUCGACCGGGACGAAAACCUGUUGGCUAACAUCCAACGGCUUGACGGUACCGGGAGAAGAAGCACCGGCUAACUCUGUGCCAGCAGCCGCGGUAAUACAGAGGGUGCAAGCGUUGUUCGGAAUUAUUGGGCGUAAAGCGCGUGUAGGCGGCUUUGCAAGUCGGGUGUGAAAUCCCUCAGCUUAACUGAGGAAGUGCGCCCGAAACUGCAGAGCUUGAGUACCGGAGAGGGUGGCGGAAUUCCCCAAGUAGAGGUGAAAUUCGUAGAUAUGGGGAGGAACACCGGUGGCGAAGGCGGCCACCUGGACGGAUACUGACGCUGAGACGCGAAAGCGUGGGGAGCAAACAGGAUUAGAUACCCUGGUAGUCCACGCCGUAAACGAUGAGAACUAGGUGUCGUGGGUGUUGACCCCCGCGGUGCCGUAGCUAACGCAUUAAGUUCUCCGCCUGGGAAGUACGGCCCGCAGGCUAAAACUC
Molecule: ribosomal RNA, 902 nt
Filed under: uncultured bacterium
Lineage: Bacteria
Description: bacterial SSU rRNA
Rfam family: Bacterial small subunit ribosomal RNA
Source: RNAcentral